Molecule: long non-coding RNA, 212 nt
Filed under: Elaeis guineensis (African oil palm)
Lineage: Eukaryota; Viridiplantae; Streptophyta; Magnoliopsida; Arecales; Arecaceae
Description: long non-coding RNA (EGUI_LNC064546)
Source: RNAcentral
UAGGAUGGUUUUGAUUUUAAUUUCAAUAAAGACUUUUUGUUUCAUUUAUUUAUGAAAUAAAAUGAUUGCACGUAGUUUUUUAAUUGACAGUCUUUAUCACUUGCAUAUUGAUGCGAAUGUGAAUUUAAACGAGCAAGUAGUGAGUGCUGUAGGUCAAAAGAGACUCAGAGACAAAAUUAAUCAAAAGUACUUGUGGCAUCAUAGGCUAGGCC